GAUGAAGAACGUAGCGAAAUGCGAUACGUAAUGUGAAUUGCAGAAUUCAGUGAAUCAUCGAAUCUUUGAACGCAUAUUGCGCUCUCUGGUAUUCCGGAGAGCAUGCUUGUUUGAGUAUCAGUAAACGCCUCAACUCCCCUUUCUUUUUUGAAAUGGGAGCUGGACUUGAGUGAUCCCAACGCUUUUCUCACCGAAAAGUGGCGGGUUACUUGAAAUGCAGGUGCAGCUGGACUUUUCUCUGAGCUAAAAGCAUAUCUAUUUAGUCUGCCUAAAAACAGAUUAUUACCUUUGCUGCAGCUAACAUAAAGGAGAUUAGUUCUUGUGCUGACUGAUGCAGGAUUCACAGAGACAGCUUCGGCUGGCCUUUGUAAACUCGAUCUCAAAUCAAGUAAGACUACCCGCUGAACUUAAGCAUAUCAAUAAGCGGAGGA
This 431-nucleotide unclassified non-coding RNA is filed under the name soil metagenome. Its description in RNAcentral is "partial contains 5.8S ribosomal RNA, internal transcribed spacer 2, and large subunit ribosomal RNA". The stretch from base 1 to 120 matches the Rfam family "5.8S ribosomal RNA", at positions 35 to 154 of the family's 154-position model. The record is from RNAcentral.